This 495-nucleotide ribosomal RNA is filed under the name uncultured bacterium. RNAcentral's name for it is "partial 16S ribosomal RNA". It matches the Rfam family "Bacterial small subunit ribosomal RNA", at positions 28 to 507 of the family's 1533-position model. The record is from RNAcentral.
GACGAACGCUGGCGGCGUGCCUAAUACAUGCAAGUAGAACGCUGAAGGAGGAGCUUGCUUCUCUGGAUGAGUUGCGAACGGGUGAGUAACGCGUAGGUAACCUGCCUGGUAGCGGGGGAUAACUAUUGGAAACGAUAGCUAAUACCGCAUAAUAGUAGAUGUUGCAUGACAUUUGCUUAAAAGGUGCAAUUGCAUCACUACCAGAUGGACCUGCGUUGUAUUAGCUAGUUGGUGAGGUAACGGCUCACCAAGGCGACGAUACAUAGCCGACCUGAGAGGGUGAUCGGCCACACUGGGCCUGAGACACGGCCCAGACUCCUACGGGAGGCAGCAGUAGGGAAUCUUCGGCAAUGGACGGAAGUCUGACCGAGCAACGCCGCGUGAGUGAAGAAGGUUUUCGGAUCGUAAAGCUCUGUUGUAAGAGAAGAACGAGUGUGAGAGUGGAAAGUUCACACUGUGACGGUAUCUUACCAGAAAGGGACGGCUAACUACGUG